GACGAACGCUGGCGGCGUGCUUAACACAUGCAAGUCGAACGGAAAGGCCCUGCUUUUGUGGGGUGCUCGAGUGGCGAACGGGUGAGUAACACGUGAGUAACCUGCCCUUGACUUUGGGAUAACUUCAGGAAACUGGGGCUAAUACCGGAUAGGAGCUCCUGCUGCAUGGUGGGGGUUGGAAAGUUUCGGCGGUUGGGGAUGGACUCGCGGCUUAUCAGCUUGUUGGUGGGGUAGUGGCUUACCAAGGCUUUGACGGGUAGCCGGCCUGAGAGGGUGACCGGCCACAUGGGGACUGAGAUACGGCCCAGACUCCUACGGGAGGCAGCAGUGGGGAAUAUUGCACAAUGGGAGGAAGCCUGAUGCAGCAACGCCGCGUGCGGGAUGACGGCCUUCGGGUUGUAAACCGCUGUCGCCUGUGACGAAGCGUGAGUGACGGUAAUGGGUAAAGAAGCACCGGCUAACUACGUG
Molecule: ribosomal RNA, 468 nt
Filed under: uncultured bacterium
Lineage: Bacteria
Description: partial 16S ribosomal RNA
Rfam family: Bacterial small subunit ribosomal RNA
Source: RNAcentral